GGGGAGAUAGCAUAGUGGUUAUGCAAGGGAUUUUUAUGCCUAAAGCUCCGAAGACCCAGGUUCAAUUCCUGGCAUCACCA
Molecule: transfer RNA, 80 nt
Filed under: Erinaceus europaeus (western European hedgehog)
Lineage: Eukaryota; Metazoa; Chordata; Mammalia; Eulipotyphla; Erinaceidae
Rfam family: tRNA
About the family: Transfer RNA (tRNA) molecules are approximately 80 nucleotides in length. Their secondary structure includes four short double-helical elements and three loops (D, anti-codon, and T loops).
Source: Rfam by way of RNAcentral